CAGUAGCCACGGGAGUACGAAGGGUGCAAGCGUUGCUCGGAAUGACUGGGCGUAAAGGGCGCGUAGGCGGCGAUCAAAGUCAGGCGUGAAAUUCCUGGGCUCAACCUAGGAACUGCAUCUGAUACUGUAUAGCUGGAGUAUGAUAGAGGGUAGUGGAAUUUCCGGUGUAGCGGUGAAAUGCGUAGAUAUCGGAAGGAACACCAGUGGCGAAGGCGGCUACCUGGAUUAAUACUGACACUGAGGCGCGAGAGCGUGGGGAGCAAACAGGAUUAGUACCCGCGUAGUCCCUGUCUCUUAUACA
This 301-nucleotide ribosomal RNA is filed under the name uncultured bacterium. RNAcentral's name for it is "partial 16S ribosomal RNA". It matches the Rfam family "Bacterial small subunit ribosomal RNA", at positions 509 to 808 of the family's 1533-position model. The record is from RNAcentral.